AUGGGCUCUUCGCCAGCCUCCGUCGAAGCAGCAGCUGCCCCCGAAGUUGCAUCUGAUGCUGCUGAAUCUGUAGAACAACUAGCUACAGUGGCCACCGUCACUGUCGUUGUUGAAGAGCUCGCCACUGCAGCUGUUAAUGAUGAAAUUCAUGCUGAUGAAACUCCUAUCACGGACACUGCCGUCGCCGAAGCUGCCCAAGUGUCCGUGCCCCCUGAAGCCGGAGUGGCUAUUGUAGUAACUAGUGUUGAUGCAGGAAAAACAGCUCCAGACUUGACGAUGAUGAAGUACUUAUGUGGUGGGAAGAAUUUGAACAUAACAACCCAUCAGCCAAAGGAAAAGCUGUUGUUCAAGGAGGUAAUCAAUUUUUGUUAG
Molecule: ribosomal RNA, 372 nt
Filed under: Triticum aestivum (bread wheat)
Lineage: Eukaryota; Viridiplantae; Streptophyta; Magnoliopsida; Poales; Poaceae
Description: partial small subunit ribosomal RNA
Source: RNAcentral